Long non-coding RNA from Bubalus bubalis (water buffalo), 549 nucleotides. RefSeq lists it as uncharacterized. The record is from RefSeq and is a predicted model, not a curated record. Lineage: Eukaryota; Metazoa; Chordata; Mammalia; Artiodactyla; Bovidae. The transcript is spliced from 3 exons.
UCACCAGGCAGAAACUAUUCCUCAAGGGCUAUAUGACGUCGGUAGGAAGGCAGUUCAAAACAUCGCAGGGAAGUGAGAGAGAGGGGAAAAAAAAAAAAAAAGACCCAGCGCCCAGCCCAGCGGGUCUAGUCAAUUGCUGAAAUUUACAAAGCUUCUUUGCAGAUCAGCGCCAGAGAGGAGGAGUGUAAACCAGCCAAACAGACAGAAGACAUCUCGAAACUUAUUUCCUCCUUUGAGAAAUGAGGUGUCUCUUGUUAUUCAAGAAUAAAGAGAAGCCUUGAUUGCAAAUACUUUUAUAUACAGGCAGAUGAAUUACCUCAGUGUCUAUGACCUUCAUAGAGGUUUUACUUCUGGAGUAUCCUAGACCAGCCCUGCCUCUUCCGUUAUUUUGUGACACCAAAGAAGAGUUUAUUGGGACUUGGAAACUAAAUAAACAGGGAUUAAAGUGAGAAAAGUAGAGAAGACCCUGAUGCUGGGAAAGACUGAAGGCAAAAGGAGAAGACGGCAGGAGAAGAUGAGACGGUUGGAUAGCAUCACCCGUUCAAUGGA